CGCGAAAAGCUGCCUACGAGGAGGGCGGGGCAGCGGCAGCACUGGUAGGCCCAAACCAACAACAUGGUGACCCGGGGGCGCUACAGACGCCUCGUCUGAGGGGGUGUCAAGGGGGCCUAGCCUCUCUCAACUACCUCAGGUCGCCAUCGGCGCGCUCGCCAUGGCCCGGCACAGGAACGUGCGUGGCUAUAACUACGACGAAGACUUUGAAGAAGAUGAUCUUUAUGGACAGUCUGUAGAGGAUGAUUUUUGCAUUUCACCUUCAACAGCUGCUCAAUUCAUUUACUCAAGACGUGAUAAUCCUACUGCAUAUGCCGAGACAUUAGAAGAAAAAUAUGAUUAUGAAACAGAACAUAGCAAUGAUUGUAUUCCAAGUCACCAGCUAACAGGUGCUGAAAAAGCUAAGCUUGAUUUGUGCCUUGAUCACAUGAGAGAAGUGCUUGGAAAGUCUGUGCCUGAGAAAGUGAUGGUGGAAGCAGUAUUGAGCAGUAAAUUUGAUGUACAACAAGCUUUGGAUUCUGUUCUUGCCCAAGACAAUAAGCAAAAUAAGAUAAAGAACGAGGAUGCCGUAAUUGCAGGGAAGGCAACAAAAGGAAAAGUCAGAGAUUCCCAGACAAGCAGAAUUGAAUCUGAUGUCGUGCCAAAAGUUACCAAAAUGACUGUGUCUGGAAAGAGACAAACUACCGGCUUUGAAGUUCCAUGUGUGAAUGCUGAAGAGAAUGGGCAUAUGCCACAAAAGGGACUCUCAGCUGGAGAUGCCAACGUGGGGGUUACUGAGAUUCUUCCUAAACCAGCUUUUCCACCCCAGACUGUUCAAGUAUCAGAAGAACCAACCUUGACACCAACUUCAGUGAAAAAGUCCGGAAAAGCAAAACAGCAAAUAGAUGUGAAAGCUGAGCUGGAGAAGAGACAAGGAGGAAAACAUCUACUUAACCUUGUGGUAAUAGGACAUGUUGAUGCAGGAAAAAGUACCCUCAUGGGUCAUUUGCUGUAUCUUCUGGGCAAUGUGAACAAACGAACUAUGCACAAAUAUGAGCAAGAAUCAAAGAAAGCUGGAAAGGCAUCAUUUGCUUAUGCAUGGGUCUUGGAUGAGACAGGGGAAGAGAGAGAGAGGGGAGUGACAAUGGAUGUAGGUAUGACCAAAUUUGAGACAAAGACAAAAGUUAUUACAUUGAUGGAUGCUCCUGGCCAUAAAGACUUCAUUCCAAAUAUGAUCACAGGAGCUGCAAUGGCUGAUGUGGCUAUAUUAGUGGUGGAUGCCAGCAGAGGGGAGUUUGAAGCAGGAUUUGAGACUGGUGGGCAAACACGAGAACAUGGACUGUUGGUUCGAUCUCUUGGAGUCACACAGCUGGCAGUUGCUGUCAAUAAAAUGGACCAGGUCAAUUGGCAACAGGAAAGAUUUCAGGAGAUUGUCAGUAAGCUUGGGCAGUUCCUGAAGCAAGCUGGCUUUAAGGAGUCGGACGUAGCUUAUAUACCUACAAGUGGGCUUGGUGGUGAAAAUCUUGUCACAAGAAGUCAAGCGAGUGAGCUGACCAAAUGGUAUGAAGGAAAAUGCUUGUUAGAACAAAUAGAUUCUUUCAAGCCACCUCAGAGAUCUGUGGAGAAACCAUUCAGAUUAUGUGUAUCGGAUGUUUUUAAAGAUCAAGGAUCGGGAUUUUGUGUGACUGGUAAAAUUGAAGCAGGAUAUGUUCAAGUUGGAGAUCGGCUGCUAGCGAUGCCUCCGAAUGAAACUUGCACUGUAAAAGGAAUUGCCCUACAUGAUGAACCAGUGGAUUGGGCUGCAGCAGGAGAUCACGUUAUUCUCACUUUGACUGGCAUGGAUAUCAUCAAAAUCAAUGUUGCGUGCAUAUUUUGUUGCCCCAAGGAACCUAUUAAAGCUUGCACACGUUUCAGAGCUCGGAUCCUCAUCUUCAAUAUUGAAGUUCCUAUCACCAAAGGAUUCCCUGUGCUUUUACAUUUUCAAACUGUAAGCGAGCCUGCCACUAUUAGGAGGUUACUGAGUGUGCUUCACAAGAGUACAGGUGAAGUCACAAAGAAAAAAGCCUAAGUGUUUGACUAAAGGACAGAAUGCUUUAGUAGAACUGCAAACGCAAAGGCCUGUUGCUCUGGAACUUUAUAAAGACUUCAAAGAACUUGGAAGGUUCAUGUUGCGGUACAGUGGCUCCACCAUAGCUGCAGGAGUUGUGACGGAGAUAAAAGAAUGAUGACUGUGCCAGAACUUCUGCAACCCAACCAAAUGAAAUCAUAUGUCCAAAUAUGUUUAUUUGAUGAAUCCAGUCAUAUCAGUGGAAGGAGCAAAGGCAAUUACCUUUCUAAGAGGAGGAGAUGAAAUACCAGGUGUUCUUCAAACAUUUUGAAGCUGUCCUUGCUUCAAAAUAGUAUGCCAAUAGGGAAAUACACGUUGCACUUUCUUACUGCACAAGUUCCACUCUAUUUCCCAUUUAAACCAUCAUUGGUAACUCUAGAGGACCUUUAUGAAAAGUUUAUCAGAAAGAUGUGUUAAAGGACAAUGAUUCAUCGUGGGGGGAAAGCAUGUUACUUCCAGCCUUAAACAUUGUUUACAAUUUAUUUUUGGGUGGGGGGCACUGCUUACCUGCUGCACAUUAUUUCAUAAAUUAAUUCAAUUGGGCUAUAGCGUUCCAGAUUUUAUACAAAUACAUUUUCAAAGAACCCUGUUUCCUUCUGUUUCAGAAACCAUUAUUAACCAUUAAUUUCUUUCUGUUCCAGAUUAAUUUAAAACUUAUUUGUGUAGCCCUAGUUAGUCCAAUAAUGGCUAUUUUUAUUUUUUAGAUUGUAGAAGAAUAAAGUAGCUUGGCCUGAGCAUAA
Podarcis muralis (Common wall lizard) is the source of this 2826-nucleotide non-coding RNA. The record is from RefSeq and is a predicted model, not a curated record. Lineage: Eukaryota; Metazoa; Chordata; Lepidosauria; Squamata; Lacertidae.